GGCUCUGAGGUGUACUUACAUGUUAGAUUGCAAAUCUAAGGAAGCAGGGUAAAGCCUGCCGGGGCUU
This 67-nucleotide transfer RNA is filed under the name Pseudalutarius nasicornis (rhino leatherjacket). RNAcentral describes it as "tRNA-Cys". Lineage: Eukaryota; Metazoa; Chordata; Actinopteri; Tetraodontiformes; Monacanthidae. The record is from RNAcentral.